Molecule: ribosomal RNA, 2109 nt
Filed under: Lactobacillus delbrueckii subsp. bulgaricus
Lineage: Bacteria; Bacillati; Bacillota; Bacilli; Lactobacillales; Lactobacillaceae
Description: partial 23S ribosomal RNA
Rfam family: Bacterial large subunit ribosomal RNA
Source: RNAcentral
UUGUGGGUAGCGGUGAAAUUCCAAACGAACUUGGAGAUAGCUGGUUCUCUCCGAAAUAGCUUUAGGGCUAGCCUCGCAAAGAGGAUGCUGGAGGUAGAGCUCUGUUUGGACUAGGGGCCCGUCAAGGGUUACUGAAUUCAGAUAAACUGCGAAUUCCAGACAUUUAUGUGCGGGAGUCAGACUGCGAGUGAUAAGAUCCGUAGUCGAAAGGGAAACAGCCCAGAUCACCAGUUAAGGUCCCAAAAUUCAUGCUAAGUGGAAAAGGAUGUGGAGUUGCGCAGACAACUAGGACGUUGGCUCAGAAGCAGCCAUCAUUCAAAGAGUGCGUAAUAGCUCACUAGUCGAGUGACGCCGCGCCGAAAAUUUACCGGGGCUAAGCAUGAUACCGAAACUGUGGAUGUGCGUUUAUGCACGUGGUAGGAGAGCGUUCUAGCGGCGGUGAAGCAUGACCGAGAGGACAUGUGGAGCUUCUAGAAGUGAGAAUGCCGGUAUGAGUAACGAAAGACAGGUGAGAAUCCUGUCCGCCGCAAGACUAAGGUUUCCUGGGGCAGGCUCGUCCGCCCAGGGUAAGUCGGGACCUAAGGCGAGGCCGAGAGGCGUAGUCGAUGGACAACAGGUUGAAAUUCCUGUACUGCACCGAAUCGUUAUGAGCGAUGGAGGGACGCAGGAGGCUAGCAGCGCGUGGUGCUGGAUACCACGUUCAAGCGUCAAGUCUGAGAGUGAGUCAAAUGCUUGCUCUCAUAAGGACAAGGCGUGAUGAGGAGCGAAAUUAAAGUAGCGAAGGCUGCGACGUCACACUGCCGAGAAAAGCUUCUAGCCAGAGACGGUGCACCCGUACCGCAAACCGACACAGGUAGUCGAGGAGAGUAUCCUCAGGUGAGCGAGAGAACUCUCGUUAAGGAACUCGGCAAAAUGGCCCCGUAACUUCGGGAGAAGGGGCGCUGGUCGCAAGAUCAGCCGCAGUGAAAAGGCCCAAGCAACUGUUUAUCAAAAACACAGGCAUCUGCAAAAUCGUAAGAUGAAGUAUAGGUGCUGACACCUGCCCGGUGCUGGAAGGUUAAGAGGAGAGCUUAGCGCAAGCGAAGGUUUGAAUUGAAGCCCCAGUAAACGGCGGCCGUAACUAUAACGGUCCUAAGGUAGCGAAAUUCCUUGUCGGGUAAGUUCCGACCUGCACGAAAGGUGUAAUGAUUUGGGCACUGUCUCAACGAGAGACUCGGUGAAAUUAUAAUACCCGUGAAGAUGCGGGUUACCCGCGACAGGACGGAAAGACCCCAUGGAGCUUUACUGCAGUUUAAUAUUGGGUAUCUGUCAAGCAUGUACAGGAUAGGUAGGAGCCGGAGAAGAUAGGACGCCAGUCUUAUCUGAGGCGCUGUUGGGAUACUACCCUUGCUUGACGGAUGCUCUAACUCAGGCCUGUGAUCCAGGCCGAGGACAGUGUUUGACGGGCAGUUUGACUGGGGCGGUCGCCUCCUAAAGUGUAACGGAGGCGCCCAAAGGUUCCCUCAGAAUGGUUGGAAAUCAUUCGCAGAGUGUAAAGGUAAAAGGGAGCUUGACUGCGAGAGAGACAACUCGAGCAGGUACGAAAGUAGGGCUUAGUGAUCUGGUGGUACCGUAUGGAAGGGCCAUCACUCAACGGAUAAAAGCUACCCUGGGGAUAACAGGCUUAUCUCCCCCAAGAGUUCACAUCGACGGGGAGGUUUGGCACCUCGAUGUCGGCUCGUCGCAUCCUGGGGCUGAAGUCGGUCCCAAGGGUUGGGCUGUUCGCCCAUUAAAGCGGCACGCGAGCUGGGUUCAGAACGUCGUGAGACAGUUCGGUCCCUAUCCGUCGUGGGCGUAGGAAAUUUGAGAGGAGCUGUCCUUAGUACGAGAGGACCGGGAUGGACGCACCGCUGGUGUACCAGUUGUCUUGCCAAAGGCAUCGCUGGGUAGCUAUGUGCGGACGGGAUAAGCGCUGAAAGCAUCUAAGUGCGAAGCCCCCCUCAAGAUGAGAUUUCCCAUUUCUUCAAGAAAGUAAGACACCUCAGAGACGAUGAGGUAGAUAGGCCGGGAGUGGAAGAGCCGUGAGGCUUGGAGCGGACCGGUACUAAUCAGUCGAGGACUUGACCAAAA